GAUGAAGAACGCAGCGAAAUGCGAUACUUGGUGUGAAUUGCAGAAUCCCGUGAACCAUCGAGUCUUUGAACGCAAGUUGCGCCCGAAGCCGUCAGGCCGAGGGCACGCCUGCCUGGGCGUCACACGCCGUUGCCCCCCCGCGCCCCGCACCCAACUCUUUGGGAGCGACCGCGGGGCGGGCUGAUGAUGGCCUCCCGUGCGCUCCGCCGCGCGGUUGGCCCAAAUACCGAGUCCCCGGCGACGUGCGCCACGACGAUCGGUGGUUGAGAGACCUCUGUCGCAAGUCGUGCGCGCCCGUCGCGUCACGCGGGCUCGCAUAGCGCCUCGCGCCGCACCCGGUGCGGAGCUUUCAACGCGGCCCCAGGUCAGGCGGGGUUACCCGCUGAAUUUAAGCAUAUCAAUAAGCGGAGGA
Molecule: unclassified non-coding RNA, 412 nt
Filed under: soil metagenome
Description: partial contains 5.8S ribosomal RNA, internal transcribed spacer 2, and large subunit ribosomal RNA
Rfam family: 5.8S ribosomal RNA (bases 1-122)
Source: RNAcentral